Haliaeetus albicilla (white-tailed eagle) is the source of this 45-nucleotide regulatory RNA element. It matches the Rfam family "Histone 3' UTR stem-loop". From Rfam's summary of the family: The mRNAs of metazoan histone genes lack a poly-A tail. 3' end processing occurs at a site between a highly conserved stem-loop (modelled by this family) and a purine rich region around 20 nts downstream (the histone downstream element, or HDE). The stem-loop is bound by a 31 kDa stem-loop binding protein (SLBP - also termed the histone hairpin binding protein, or HBP). The record is from Rfam. Lineage: Eukaryota; Metazoa; Chordata; Aves; Accipitriformes; Accipitridae.
AAAAAGGCUCUUUUCAGAGCCACCCACAGUGGUCAUAAGGGACUG